This 292-nucleotide ribosomal RNA is filed under the name uncultured bacterium. Its description in RNAcentral is "partial 16S ribosomal RNA". The record is from RNAcentral.
GGACUACUCGGGUUUCUAAUCCUGUUUGCUCCCCACGCUUUCGCGUCUCAGCGUCAGUAACGUCCCAGCGAGCUGCCUUCGCAAUUGGUGUUCCUCCUGAUAUCUGCGCAUUUCACCGCUACACCAGGAAUUCCACUCGCCUCUUCCGUACUCAAGCCCGACAGUAUCCACCGGCAUCCGAGGGUUGAGCCCCCGACUUUCACAGCGGACUUACCGGACCGCCUACACGCGCUUUACGCCCAAUGAUUCCGGACAACGCUAGCCCCCUACGUAUUACCGCGGCUGCUGGCAC